CGGGAGGCUUAACACAUGCAAGUCGAGGGGCAGCACGGGGUAGCAAUACCCUGGUGGCGACCGGCGCACGGGUGAGUAACACGUAUGCAACCUACCCUGUACAGGGGGAUAACCCGGAGAAAUUCGGACUAAUAUCCCAUAAUGAUAUUGAAAGGCAUCUUUUGAUAUUUAAAGCUCAGGCGGUACGGGAUGGGCAUGCGGAACAUUAGCUAGUUGGCAGGGUAACGGCCUACCAAGGCUGCGAUGUUUAGGGGACCUGAGAGGGUGAACCCCCACACUGGUACUGAGACACGGACCAGACUCCUACGGGAGGCAGCAGUGAGGAAUAUUGGUCAAUGGGCGCAAGCCUGAACCAGCCAUCCCGCGUGAAGGAAGAAGGCGCUAUGCGUCGUAAACUUCUUUUCCAGGGGGUGAAUGAUUCCGAUGUAUCGGGAUUUGACGGUACCCUGGGAAUAAGCAUCGGCUAACUCCGUGCCAGCAGCCGCGGUAAUACGGAGGAUGCAAGCGUUAUCCGGAUUUAUUGGGUUUAAAGGGUGCGUAGGCGGAUUGAUAAGUCAGUGGUGAAAACCUGCAGCUUAACUGUAGACUUGCCGUUGAUACUGUCAGUCUUGAGUGUGGUCAAGGUAGGCGGAAUGUGUAAUGUAGCGGUGAAAUGCUUAGAUAUUACACAGAACACCGAUUGCGAAGGCAGCUUGCUGGACCAUUACUGUCGCUGAUGCACGAAAGCGUGGGGAUCGAACAGGAUUAGAUACCCUGGUAGUCCACGCCGUAAACGAUGAUCACUCGCUGUUAGCGAUACACUGUUAGCGGCUAAGCAAAAGCAUUAAGUGAUCCACCUGGGGAGUACGGCCGCAAGGCUGAAACUCAAAUGAAUUGACGG
This 880-nucleotide ribosomal RNA is filed under the name uncultured bacterium. Its description in RNAcentral is "bacterial SSU rRNA". It matches the Rfam family "Bacterial small subunit ribosomal RNA", at positions 40 to 916 of the family's 1533-position model. The record is from RNAcentral.